This 834-nucleotide ribosomal RNA is filed under the name Phrynobatrachus alleni (Allen's river frog). RNAcentral describes it as "partial 16S ribosomal RNA". It matches the Rfam family "Bacterial large subunit ribosomal RNA", at positions 1508 to 2573 of the family's 2925-position model. Lineage: Eukaryota; Metazoa; Chordata; Amphibia; Anura; Phrynobatrachidae. The record is from RNAcentral.
GCGUUAAAGCUCCUUACCUAGGCACACAAAUCCCCCAUACAGCCCUAAACCCCCCACCCAUACUGAACGAUCUCAUAAUUUAUGAUAAACCUUCUGUUAGAACUAGUAACAAGAAAUUGCAUUUCUCCUAAGUAUACCCUUAAACCAACACUGACCAACUACUGGUGCUUAACGCCAUGACCCCCCUGUAGUAACCUCGCUUGAAAACACUACAACACCACUGCGUUACCCUAACACUAGAAUACUUUAGGAAAAAUUUAAAGGGGGUGAAGGAACUCGGCAAAUAAUAGCCCCGCCUGUUUACCAAAAACAUCGCCUCCCGCUAAUCCCAUGAGAGGUCCAGCCUGCCCGGUGACAAAGUUUAACGGCCUCGGUACCCUGACCGCGCAAAGGUAGCAUAAUCACUUGUUCUUUAAAUAGGGACUUGUAUCAACGGCAUCACGAGGGCUAAACUGUCUCCCCCCCCUAAUUAGUGAAUCUGAUCUCUUCGUGAAAAAGCGAAGAUUAUUAUAUAAGACGAGAAGACCCCGUGGAGCUUAAAACCUAAUAACACCUUCUUCACUGUAACCUUAAAAAAUAAGAUCUUUGUUAGAAGUUUUCGGCUGGGGUGUCCAAGGAGUACAACAAAACCUCCAUGACGAACAUUCCUCUACCCAAGAGCCACUGCUCUAAGAAUCAGCAAUCUGACGUAACAUGACCCGAUUAUUCGAUCAACGAACCAAGUUACCCCGGGGAUAACAGCGCAAUCCACUUCAAGAGCCCUUAUCGACAAGUGGGUUUACGACCUCGAUGUUGGAUCAGGGUAUCCCUGUGGUGCAGCAGCUACUAAAGGUU